Molecule: ribosomal RNA, 577 nt
Filed under: Clostridioides difficile
Lineage: Bacteria; Bacillati; Bacillota; Clostridia; Peptostreptococcales; Peptostreptococcaceae
Description: partial 23S ribosomal RNA
Rfam family: Bacterial large subunit ribosomal RNA
Source: RNAcentral
CGAUAAGCUUCGGGGAGUUGCACGUAAACUUUGAUCCGAAGAUUUCCGAAUGAGGAAACUCACUUAGAGUAAUGUCUAAGUAUCAUUAAGUGAAUACAUAGCUUAAUGAGGGGAACUCAGGGAACUGAAACAUCUAAGUACCUGAAGGAAGAGAAAGAAAUUCGAUUCUGUAAGUAGCGGCGAGCGAACGCGGAUUAGCCCAAACCAAUAAAGUUUUCUUUAUUGGGGUUGCGGACAUAUCAUAACGAAGAGGUAUCGUAAUUGAAGAGGUUUGGAAAGAUCCACCACAGAAGGUAAUAGUCCUGUAUGUUAAACGAGAAGACUUUAGAUAUGAUCCAGAGUACCACGGGACACGUGAAACCCUGUGGGAAGCAGGAGGGACCACCCUCCAAGGCUAAAUACUACCUAGUGACCGAUAGCGUAUAGUACCGUGAGGGAAAGGUGAAAAGAACCCCGGGAGGGGAGUGAAAUAGAACCUGAAACCCUGCACUUACAAGCUGUGGAAGCACAUUUCUUGUGUGACCGCGUACUUUUUGUAGAACGGGCCAACGAGUUACGUUAAGUAGCAAGGUUAAGC